Pezoporus occidentalis (night parrot) is the source of this 269-nucleotide long non-coding RNA. RefSeq lists it as uncharacterized. The record is from RefSeq and is a predicted model, not a curated record. The transcript is spliced from 2 exons. NCBI's taxonomy places the organism in Eukaryota, Metazoa, Chordata, Aves, Psittaciformes, Psittacidae.
GAAGACUCCUUACUUCAUCAGGGCGACCACCAGAGGGGGCUGCGCAAGCGCAGAAGAGGCUGAUUGCAGAAGAGGCUGAUGUCGUAAUAGACUGAUGUGGCAAUCCUUGAUGCACAUGUAUUAGUAAAUGAUGUAAUCUGUGUUGAAUAUGUAUUAGUGACGACAUUUUUAGUGUAUAAAUUGCGAGCGCAAUGUAACGGGGUUGAAGCCAGAUUUGGGCGCGUGCCCCUGGUUUCCUAGCGCUGUAAUAAAGCACCUCAUAUAACCAU